AUUGAACGCUGGCGGCAUGCUUUACACAUGCAAGUCGAACGGUAACAGGCCUUCGGGUGCUGACGAGUGGCGAACGGGUGAGUAAUGCAUCGGAACGUGCCCAGAGGUGGGGGAUAACGCAGCGAAAGCUGUGCUAAUACCGCAUGUGAUCUGAGGAUGAAAGCGGGGGACCAAGCAGCAAUGUUUGGCCUCGCGCCUCUGGAGCGGCCGAUGUCAGAUUAGGUAGUUGGUGGGGUAAAGGCCUACCAAGCCGACGAUCUGUAGCUGGUCUGAGAGGACGACCAGCCACACUGGGACUGAGACACGGCCCAGACUCCUACGGGAGGCAGCAGCGGGGAAUUUUGGACAAUGGGCGCAAGCCUGAUCCAGCAAUGCCGCGUGCGGGAAGAAGGCCUUCGGGUUGUAAACCGCUUUUGUACGGAACGAAAAGGCUCUGGCUAAUACCUGGGGCUGAUGACGGUACCGUAAGAAUAAGCACCGGCUAACUACGUG
RNAcentral lists this ribosomal RNA (492 nucleotides) under uncultured bacterium. RNAcentral describes it as "partial 16S ribosomal RNA". It matches the Rfam family "Bacterial small subunit ribosomal RNA", at positions 30 to 507 of the family's 1533-position model. The record is from RNAcentral.